Molecule: ribosomal RNA, 374 nt
Filed under: uncultured bacterium
Lineage: Bacteria
Description: bacterial SSU rRNA
Rfam family: Bacterial small subunit ribosomal RNA
Source: RNAcentral
UAAGACGAAGGGGGCUAGCGUUGUUCGGAAUUACUGGGCGUAAAGCGCGUGUAGGCGGUUGCCAAAGUCGGGUGUGAAAGCCUUGAGCUCAACUCAAGAAUUGCACUCGAUACUUGGUGACUAGAGGACCGGAGAGGAUAGUGGAAUUCCCAGUGUAGUGGUGAAAUACGUAGAGAUUGGGAAGAACACCAGUGGCGAAGGCGGCUAUCUGGACGGUUUCUGACGCUAAGACGCGAAAGCGUGGGGAGCAAACAGGAUUAGAUACCCUGGUAGUCCACGCCGUAAACGAUGGGUGCUAGACGUUGGCGAGCUUGCUCGUCAGUGUCGCAGCUAACGCGUUAAGCACCCCGCCUGGGGAGUACGGCCGCAAGGUU